GAAACGCGGAAAGCGAGGUGGAGUCGCAGCUCGUUUGAGAUCUUCUGCUUGCCUGCUGUCUGUCGGGACUGGGAUGAUCCGCGGGUUACGUCUUCAUUGGCGUUCGCUGGAUGCAUCGUAUCGUUGGCUUCGACCAGUUGUCCCCAGCCUUGUUUCUUUGCGCCGUUUUCCUCCGCGUGUUCGUCGUGGUGGAGUAAAUGAGUCUAAUCUUCGACCGAUUCGUAGUUCCACACAACCCCAGGCUUGGCACCUUGCACUAGUAUGCCGCCUCCCAACCAGGCAUGGCUGACCUUUGUUGCACUCCAUGAGCCAACAUCACUCUGCCUUGGAUAUGUGCACCCCACUCACAACUGCUUCACCAUUUCCCACAACUGAAGCUUGCAUAGCCCCACCUUUUAAGAAAGAAAGAUGCACCGCCGCCAUGAAGCGGUCUGAAUCAGCAUCCACGCACCACUACUUCCGCCCUUCCUCUGUCAGUCCCUGAUGACGUCACCAAUCCCACUAUCCACCUCGGCUUCUACCCAGUAUGCACCUCUACUUCCGGUCCCACCUCAUAAAUGCUCCCACUCCGCCAUCUUU
This is a long non-coding RNA of Polypterus senegalus (gray bichir), 579 nucleotides long. RefSeq lists it as uncharacterized. NCBI's taxonomy places the organism in Eukaryota, Metazoa, Chordata, Cladistia, Polypteriformes, Polypteridae. The transcript is spliced from 3 exons. The record is from RefSeq and is a predicted model, not a curated record.